GUCCACGCCGUAAACGAUGGAUGUUAGAUGUUGGAGGUUUCGACCCCUUCAGCAUCGUAAGCUAACGCGUUAAACAUCCCGCCUGGGGAGUACGGCCGCAAGGCUAAAACUCAAAGGAAUUGACGGGAACCCGCACAAGCGGUGGAGCAUGUGGUUCAAUUCGACAGUAAGCGAGGAACCUUACCAGGUCUUGAAAUCCAGCUGCACGCCUCCAGAAACGGAGGAAGCCUUCGAGGGUGCUGGACAGGUGCUGCAUGGCUGUCGU
Molecule: ribosomal RNA, 265 nt
Filed under: uncultured bacterium
Lineage: Bacteria
Description: partial 16S ribosomal RNA
Rfam family: Bacterial small subunit ribosomal RNA
Source: RNAcentral